RNAcentral lists this ribosomal RNA (268 nucleotides) under uncultured soil bacterium. RNAcentral describes it as "partial 16S ribosomal RNA". It matches the Rfam family "Bacterial small subunit ribosomal RNA", at positions 26 to 281 of the family's 1533-position model. The record is from RNAcentral.
AGAAUGAGCGCUGGCGGCGUGCUUAACACAUGCAAGUCGAGCGAGGCCAGGGGGGCAACUCCCUGAGUCGAGCGGCGGACGGGUGAGUAACACGUGGGUAACCUACCCGGAAGUGGGGAAUACCUCGGGGAAACUCGAGCUAAUACCGCAUAACAUCUCGAGGACGAAAGUUCUUGUGAUCAAAGCGGGGCCGCAAGGCCUCGUGCUACCGGAUGGGCCCGCGCCCGAUUAGCUAGUUGGCGAGGUAAUGGCUCACCAAGGCACGAUC